UACUACUCCCUCCGUCCCAUA
This 21-nucleotide microRNA is filed under the name Corchorus olitorius. Its description in RNAcentral is "bdi-miR11". The record is from RNAcentral. RNAcentral also lists the same sequence under 1 other name. Lineage: Eukaryota; Viridiplantae; Streptophyta; Magnoliopsida; Malvales; Malvaceae.